GUUAACAUACAGUGAGAAAUAAUGUAUGUAUUAAGGAGUGUUUGUUCAAUAUCAGGAGCCUUUGUUUUUCUGCUGAUAAUCAGCUUCACCUUCAUUGCACAGAUUCCUCCAGUCAAUGCAGGUUGGUAUAUAUUUUUCCUCACACACAGAAUAUAUAAAUUGUUGUGACAGUUUAACAACAUUCCGUGAUCUUGCUUAAUCUGCAGAUCUGGUAAUGAGAAAAUUGGGUCCUAUGGCAAGUCCACCGCCUCCACCCAUUGUUGGCACGCCACGGAAGCCUCUACCACCUCGUAAUAGUCAACCUCGUCAUCCUCCAUCCAUACCCUAAGGGUUCAUGAUCUUCGCAAGUUGCAAUAUAUUACAAUAUAUUAUCACGAUGAGAGAUAUAAAUGAGUUCAAAUAGUAUGAAAUAAAUGAGAUUCUGAGGUUAUGCAAGUAUGCAACUGUGUAGUUGACAGCAGCUUAAAGGAACAAUUAAGGAUUUAUCUAUACCAAUAAUCCAUUUUCUUUUUAGUAACUAUAACGAACGAUUCAUAGUUCA
This 541-nucleotide long non-coding RNA is filed under the name Vigna radiata. Its description in RNAcentral is "long non-coding RNA (VRAD_LNC000205)". Lineage: Eukaryota; Viridiplantae; Streptophyta; Magnoliopsida; Fabales; Fabaceae. The record is from RNAcentral.